UAGGGAAUCUUCGGCAAUGGGGGGAACCCUGACCGAGCAACGCCGCGUGAGUGAAGAAGGUUUUCGGAGCGUAAAGCUCUGUUGUUAAGGAAGAACGAGUGUGAGAAUGGAAAGUUCAUGCUGUGACGGUACUUAACCAGAAAGGGACGGCUAACUACGUGCCAGCAGCCGCGGUAAUACGUAGGUCCCGAGCGUUGUCCGGAUUUAUUGGGCGUAAAGCGAGCGCAGGCGGUUAGAAAAGUCUGAAGUGAAAGGCAGUGGCUCAACCAUUGUAGGCUUUGGAAACUGUUUAACUUGAGUGCAGAAGGGGAGAGUGGAAUUCCAUGUGUAGCGGUGAAAUGCGUAGAUAUAUGGAGGAACACCGGUGGCGAAAGCGGCUCUCUGGUCUGUAACUGACGCUGAGGCUCGAAAGCGUGGGGAGCGAACAGG
RNAcentral lists this ribosomal RNA (429 nucleotides) under Bacteroidota bacterium. Its description in RNAcentral is "Bacteroidetes bacterium partial 16S ribosomal RNA". It matches the Rfam family "Bacterial small subunit ribosomal RNA", at positions 355 to 776 of the family's 1533-position model. The record is from RNAcentral. Lineage: Bacteria; Pseudomonadati; Bacteroidota. RNAcentral also lists the same sequence under 1 other name.